This 88-nucleotide transfer RNA is filed under the name Tissierellia bacterium KA00581. It matches the Rfam family "tRNA". From Rfam's summary of the family: Transfer RNA (tRNA) molecules are approximately 80 nucleotides in length. Their secondary structure includes four short double-helical elements and three loops (D, anti-codon, and T loops). The record is from Rfam by way of RNAcentral. Lineage: Bacteria; Bacillati; Bacillota; Tissierellia.
GGAGAUGUAUCGAAGUGGUUAUAACGAGAACGACUCGAAAUCGUUUUGGCUUUUAAAAGCCACGUGGGUUCGAAUCCCACCAUCUCCG